AAGAAAAAAAAAAAAAAAAGGCAAGAAGAAAGAGCAACCUUGCACUUAUUGGGUGUUGAAUCCUUGACUUGUUAAAGAAGAAUUCCUCCUUUUACCGCCUGUCCACAUCCCAUCAUUUGCUGUAAUUGUGUAAAUAAUAUAUUUAUUUACUUUAGAUGAAAUUAUACAUUUUUAAUUUUAUUAGUAUAAAUUUUUAUCUAUUUAUUAUUAUAUAG
RNAcentral lists this unclassified non-coding RNA (215 nucleotides) under Hevea brasiliensis (rubber tree). The record is from RNAcentral. Lineage: Eukaryota; Viridiplantae; Streptophyta; Magnoliopsida; Malpighiales; Euphorbiaceae.